Molecule: ribosomal RNA, 171 nt
Filed under: uncultured Desulfovibrio sp.
Lineage: Bacteria; Pseudomonadati; Thermodesulfobacteriota; Desulfovibrionia; Desulfovibrionales; Desulfovibrionaceae
Description: partial 16S ribosomal RNA
Rfam family: Bacterial small subunit ribosomal RNA
Source: RNAcentral
CGUACACACACGCUACAAUAGGUCAGCACAAUGGGUCGCUAAGCCGCAAGGUGGAGCCAAUCCUCAAAGUUGGCCUCAGUUCAGAUUGUAGGCUGCAACUCGCCUGCAUGAAGAUGGAGUUGCUAGUAAACGCAGGUCAGCUAUACUGCGUUGAAUGCGUUCCCGGGGCUU